Molecule: long non-coding RNA, 222 nt
Organism: Sinocyclocheilus anshuiensis
Lineage: Eukaryota; Metazoa; Chordata; Actinopteri; Cypriniformes; Cyprinidae
Exons: 3
Source: RefSeq, a predicted model, not a curated record
CAGAUGCUGGUUCAAGUUAAAGAAGUUUUAUCCAAGCUUCCGUGUCUUGUUGAAAUUUCAUUAAAAGAGACGGAGGAAAUAACUAUUUGUGGAGACACACAUGGCCAGUACUACGAUCUUCUAAAUAUCUUUGAGCUGAACGGUUUACCAUCUAUAACUAAUCCUUACCUGUUCAACGGUGACUUUGUGGACCGCGGCUCUUUCUCUGUAGAAGUCAUUCUC